UGUUGGUGUUUGGCAAGAGGAAGCAAAAGGAGGAGAAGAGCAAGAUUGAGAAACGGAUUUGUCCAAAACAUUAAUGUUCCUCUCAUCACCGCAUCACAACAAAGGAGCUCAUAUAUAUGUAUAUAUUGCGCAAAACUUACAAUUAGAGAUGAAAGGUAGCCUACUGAUGAUUUUGACCUGUUGACUAAGUGAGGAUAGUUUCUGUAUAACUAAAAAGGUUUGAAACUGCAGAUGGAGUUAAAUAAAUUUUACUAUUUCAUGUUCACGAGUCUAGGAUAAAAAUAUCAAAUGAUUUUGAUGAACAUGAGUCCGGGUCAUGUUCAUGGGUUUUGUUCAGAAUGUCAAGUUAUAAUGUUGACUCU
This 362-nucleotide long non-coding RNA is filed under the name Helianthus annuus (common sunflower). Its description in RNAcentral is "hypothetical non coding rna". Lineage: Eukaryota; Viridiplantae; Streptophyta; Magnoliopsida; Asterales; Asteraceae. The record is from RNAcentral.